RNAcentral lists this transfer RNA (83 nucleotides) under Botryobasidium botryosum FD-172 SS1. RNAcentral describes it as "tRNA-Leu (TAA) (tRNA-Leu-TAA-1-1)". It matches the Rfam family "tRNA". From Rfam's summary of the family: Transfer RNA (tRNA) molecules are approximately 80 nucleotides in length. Their secondary structure includes four short double-helical elements and three loops (D, anti-codon, and T loops). Further hydrogen bonds mediate the characteristic L-shaped molecular structure. tRNAs have two regions of fundamental functional importance: the anti-codon, which is responsible for specific mRNA codon recognition, and the 3' end, to which the tRNAs corresponding amino acid is attached (by aminoacyl-tRNA synthetases). tRNAs cope with the degeneracy of the genetic code in two manners: having more than one tRNA (with a specific anti-codon) for a particular amino acid; and 'wobble' base-pairing, i.e. permitting non-standard base-pairing at the 3rd anti-codon position. Lineage: Eukaryota; Fungi; Basidiomycota; Agaricomycetes; Cantharellales; Botryobasidiaceae. The record is from RNAcentral.
GGAAGCAUGGCCGAGUGGUUAAGGCGCGGGAUUUAAGUUCCCCGUUCAGUAAUGUAUCGUGGGUUCGAACCCCACUGCUUCCA